AUACCAGACUCCUACGGGAGGCAGCAGUGGGGAAUAUUGCACAAUGGGGGAAACCCUGAUGCAGCGACGCCGCGUGAGUGAAGAAGUCUUUCGGUCUGUAAAGCUCUAUCAGCAGGGAAGAAAAUGACGGUACCUGACUAAGAAGCCCCGGCUAACUACGUGCCAGCAGCCACGGUAAUACGUAGGGGGCAAGCGUUAUCCGGAUUUACUGGGUGUAAAGGGAGCGUAGACGGCGGUGCAAGCCAGAUGUGAAAGCCCGGGGCUCAACCCCGGGACUGCAUUUGGAACUGUGCUGCUAGAGUGUCGGAGAGGCAGGCAGAAUUCCUAGUGUAGCUGUGAAAUGCGUAGAUAUUAGGAGGAACACCGGCCGCGAAGGCGGCCUGCUGGACGACAACUGACGGUGAGGCGCGAACGCGUGGGGAGCAAACAGGAUUAUAUACCCCUGUAA
RNAcentral lists this ribosomal RNA (448 nucleotides) under uncultured bacterium. Its description in RNAcentral is "bacterial SSU rRNA". It matches the Rfam family "Bacterial small subunit ribosomal RNA", at positions 328 to 793 of the family's 1533-position model. The record is from RNAcentral.